CUUUUCGUCACCGGGCGCUGGAACGAGGGCGCACGACACGGCGCCCUCGGGCGGCUCCGCCGCCGCGCCCAGCGCCAGCCACGAAUCCUCACGCCGCCGUCGGUGUCGUCUCGCUUCUUGUUCGUGCGCCAUUCUGUCGCCGGGCGACUUGCGUCCCGACUGGUCGCGGCGGUCGUACUCUUGUCGUCGUUCCUGACCGCCCUCGUACGAGCGGUGGUCGUCGGCGCGAAUCCAUGCCGACGGGCGCGGGUGAUCCAACCGGAGGGCAAAGAGAUCGACGGGCAGUCGCAGGUGGGCAAACAGCGACCGGCGAUCGGGUCCGCCGAGGAGGCCGACACGGCUGGCAAAGCGGCCGCGCCCGACGUAAAAGUCGAACCGGCGCGCGCGGAUGGCCGCCGUGGCGCCGCCGCCGGCCGGGUCCUCCACCGGGAUCACCACGUCCGAACAGUAGAGUUGGGCGCGCUUGGCCGGCAGCGAGCACACGAGGUCGUUUGCGGGCACACGCAAUCGUGCCUCGCGUAGGUCGUGGGUGGACACGGUGAGCGUGCGACGCGUGGUGCUCACUGCCACCCACACGGCCUGACCCGCAAUGCACACGGGCAGUUGCCACGUGCGCCGGCGACGCGCCAAAGGCACGACGAACCCGUCGGCGUUGAACAGCGGUGCUAGAGGCACGGAGCGGGUCCCCUUGCUGUCGGAUCGACCGUGUCGGUCGUUGCCCGUGUGAUGGGCGCCAUCGUUGCCGAUACGCGACUCGAUACCGUGCGCGGUGGCGUGCCCGUCUUGCACGUGCCGGCGCCGUUCACGCUCGUCGCCCCUUCUGGCGGCCUUUCUCGAGUCUCUGUCUCUAAUGACGGCAGUGGUGUGGUUGUCGCCGCCGCCCGUUUGCGUUGCAUCGCGCGCAGGCUCAAACCCCGCGGGCGAUGGUGCGGUGGCGUCGGGUACACUGUGGUGCCCUGCACGAGGAGACGAGACAGGCCUUGCGUGCGUCUUGCGUGGUCGCUUGGCGCGUCGGGCUUUGGCAUGGGACGGCACGCGCGGCGCCACCGCCGUCGGCGCGACGGUAUCGCGUCGUUCGCCACCGCCGCCGGCAAAUUCGGCAGCGGCGACGACCGGGUCGUGCAGCCAGCGGACGUCGACCGGCGCCAAUCCAUUGGUGGGCACGAGGGCGUUGCCUGCAUCCACGCGCCCGUUGCCGUGUACGUAGCCAUAACCAUAGCCGCCGCCAUCAUUGUCCAAAUGGUAGUCGUUUGUGUCAUCAUCAAAUGUGCCCGGCGGCGGCAGCGCCGAGGCGUCGACCAGGCGCGACGGCGCGGCGUCCGAAUUGAAAAAGGGCAUCGAUGACGACGAGGGCGUCGACGGCAACACCAGAUCGCUGUCUGACGAGUCCUCGCGCGAGGCGCUACGGUUUGUGUUGGGGUUGUCGUCGCCGGCAUCACUGCCACGCCCGCGAUCGUUGCGGUGGCCAUAAUGCUGGCCGCCCCGCGUGCGACCCUGAUCGCGAAACGGCGCGUUGCGAUAGUCGCCGUUGUUGUCGUUGUGCGACGUGCGCAUGCCCGCGAGGUCGUCGUCGUCGCGCACGCAGGUCGCGUCGCCAUAGGCGGCCGAUGUCGUCGAUGCGUCGCUCGGGAGGUCGCUGGGUCGUGUGCGAGUUGCAUCCGUGCUGCUGGUCUGGGCGCCAAAGGCAGUGCUGCGGUACGUCGACGGCACGUCGUCCAUGGCCCAUAUGUUGGCGGCGGCAUGUCCCGGUGCGUUGGCGUCGCGCGACCGCCAGGGAUCUAGAUGCACGGCAUCGACAACAAAGAGUCAGCACAAAAAAAAGGGAACACUGGCGCCAUUCCUACUGUGCGUUGGCGGCAACAGAAGGGCAAGAGGAAAAAAACAAAACAGGCCAACGAAAAAAAAGUGGAGAUGCACGAUCAGAGAGGGAGCGCGCGCAUGCGUGCGGGUCAACUGCGACUGCCAGAAAAAAAAGGAAAGAGGAGGCGAAAAAAAGUCAAAGCACCUUGUUGGUGGGCCGCGCUCAUGGCCUACGGCGAGCCGG
Molecule: long non-coding RNA, 2044 nt
Filed under: Pandoravirus neocaledonia
Description: hypothetical ncRNA
Source: RNAcentral